AGCUUUCGGUCUGUAUAGCACGGCCAGGCCCAGGUCACUAAGCGGAUGUAAGACCAGCCCAGAGCAAAGGUACAGAUAGAUGUAAGUGUGUGGUUCCCUUAAGUGCCCUUAGAUGUUGACAGGAGCUCAGAGGACCCAAAACGACUGUGUUUGGGGACCCUGGCUGGCAACCCCCAGCCUCAUCCUUCUAUGGCUGAGAUCAUCCAUCUGCCGGAGCACUGGGUGCUGGAUCACGGAGUCCCGCUUCCGACCACACAUGCACCCCCCACCCCGAGGGCACCGUUCUUGCCAAAGUGUGUCGGUUCCCAGUGUCACCCAACAUCACGAACAACCCCCGGAAGAGAAGCACUGGCAGGUCCCGGGGCUCUGAGCUCUGCAUUCCACGUUCCCACCUUCGUUUUCCAUCCUCUCUGAUUCCUGGAAUCCUGCUUUAUCUCUACCUCGAACUCUCCUAUAUUUUCCUGGUUUUGUGAGAAGUCAUCCGAAAUGCUAUUUUGGAAGGAGGCACAUCUUUACAGGAGGGAGAUGAUCUGAGAGUCAAAACUCUGGUUUCGAGCCCUGGGUGAUCCACGCUAAACUGCUUAAGUCUGAAAACUCUGGAAUUCUGCCUGGCUCCACCAGAUGCUGACAGAUUCUUUGUUCUGCAUCUUCUGAGUUUGCUUUAUUUUCUCUUUAUUUUUAUGAGGAGAAGGCACGUGGUCAUCAAGGGCUUACUCGGGGUAGGUCAUUCAUUGAAUCGUCAGGACAGUCCUGUGCGUAGGUGUACAGGUGAAGCAUAGGAAAUGGCCGUUAGCAUUAGUCAAAAGUGAUCAAAGAGUAGCAAUCUCAUAUGGGUCUACCUAAUAUUUUCUUUUUCUUUCAUUCUUUUUUUUUUUUAAAGGACGCACCCCCCCGGCACAUGGACGUUCCCAGGUUAGGGGUCAUAUUGGAGCUACAGUCGCCAGCAAUGCCAGAUCUGAGCUGCAUCUGUGACCUACACCAUAGCUCAUGGCAACACUGGAUCCUUAACCCACUGAGCGAGGCCAGGGAUCAAACCCACAUCCUCAUGGAUAUUAGUUGGAUUCGUUAUUGCUGAGCCACAGCGGGAACUCCAUACCUAAUAUUUUCAUCCUCUUUAUGUAGAUGACAAAACAGUGGCACAAAGAGAUCAAGCAAUCUGGCCAAAGUCACACAGCUAGCAAGUGGCAGAGCCAGGAUUCAGGCCCAGGGGUUCUGGCUCCAGGGUCUGGAUCUCAACCCCUCACUCAGUGUGCAUCUGAACAGGCUUGAGACCAAGGUGGUCCUUCAAAGCCCAGGAAUAACUUUGGGGUUUGCUAGAAAUGAGACCAAGUGCAGACCAAGACACAGGCUAUCAGAGAUCCAGGGAACUUAUGAGAUUCCCAGAAUCCAGCUUUCUGUAGCCAUGUUCUGCUAAAUUUCCUGGCACGAGCUGUUUAGACUGAUGACCCGAAGCCCCUGAACACCACCGAAACAUCAAAGGAAAUCCAGAUGUGUUCCAAGUUGUGUUUUCUAGGGUGGAAGAGGGUACAUUUCCAAAUGAAUUUCUGUAAAGGUUGAUGUGAAAAAGUACUCUGCUCACCCAGAGCGCAGCCCGGAGCACCAAGGCUAACUAGACCUCGGUGUCUUAAGAGGCUGCAGCCGGGUCAGCACCCUGGGGCCCGAGUCGUGGCUGGUGGGGCCAGGUCUUUGCCACAGCACUUACCUGGAGGCUUCCCCUAACAGAAGAUCCUAUCCCAGAAACCCAUCUCCCUGCAUAUCUGGACCGACCUGAGGACUUGCGGGUGAAAUAUGAAACCAGUGAGGCUGUGUCCCCGUGCCUUCCGGCAGAUCACAUCUCUCCUUUGCCUCUUCCUGAGCUGGAGGCCAGGAGACAGAACUAGGCUGAAAGACAGGACCAGGGGUCCUUUAGCUCCCUCCUCCUUUUAGGAUCGUGAUGCAUUGGGCUCGAUAGUGAAAAUUGAAUUUAUGUGUGCAUGUGACCACGUGCACCUGUGUGUUUAAUGAAUUAGGUGCUGUUAUGUAAGGUGCAGGGGUAGGGGUUGCUCCCCAGAAGGCUUUCUGGAUUAGCCCCCUUGGACCCCCUACCCCUCCCCUUGCACGUAUGUGCUCCGUUGGCCGUGCGUGACGUGUGUGUGCGUGUGCGCUGACAUGGUCCUUGUGAUCGUGAGGGUCCCGCCAGUCCUCCUGGGAUAGCGUCUGUGCCUUCUGUUGCCCUGAUCCCCCUCCGCACACGCCUGGUACAAAGCAGGUAAUGGCUGACAGUUGCCAAGUGCUGGGUCGUGUGCCUCGGAGAUGCCCAACCCCCUAGGUUCAUUGGUGGAUUCGGCACAUAUUGGGGAGCUGGUGGGAUGUCACGUUACGGGGGGCAGAGCCGUGUUGCUGGGGGUCUUCCGGAGACUCCCAAGCUUGCAGGGCUGGCUCUGGGGGUGCUGGGUGACCGUCAACGUGCUGGUGAUGGAGUGGCUCUGACACCUAUAGCAGACGGGCAGGGCUGUGCUGACAGCGCUGCUCACAGGACUAGGUGGUUGGCACAGCUCUCUGCGGAGAUCACUCGUCUGUGUCCAGACAUGGUUUUAAUUCUCCUGCUAAAUGCCCUGUCACUUGGAAUCGAGAUUGUGUCUGCAGCAAGGCCCGGGACAACGACGUUAAUUUAUCAUCUGGAAUCUUUAGUGAGAUCCAGUCUAUCCUUUAUGAUCCUCGAGGCUACGCUUUCCUGAACUGCUCCAUUUCUCUCCCGUUCCUCCCAAUUAGCUGUAGAUUAAUGGCGAUGCUGGUCAGCCCCUCUGUCCUUGGAGAGCUUCCAGGCUGUUCUUCCCUGGAGCUGCCCAGUCUGCUGCAUCAGCGUCUGGUUCUGAGGAGGGAAGACUGAGCCUGGGGUUUGUGCCUCUGGGGGACCCGUGAGCAGCCAGCGGCCACUCCUUCUGGGCCACCUCUCUGGGCGGGAGGGGGUGUGAACAGGUGUGCACAGGAUACGUCGGGAGAUGAGUGUGUCUGUCUGCAUGUGACUGGUGUCUGUGUGUCUCUGAGUCCAGCCUUGUAAGUGGCAGGUGUUGACAUAUAUCCAGAUGCUCCUGAAGUGUCUCAGGUCCGGGGAGCCAAGGGGGAGAAGGAGGCUGGCGUGUGGCAGGUCGCACGUGUGAGCCAGGCCAUUCCAGAGGAGCACAGGGGCUGGAGACGGUGCCUACCUGGUGCCCUACCUGGUGCUGCUGAUCAUCAUUGGGAUCCCGCUCUUCUUCCUGGAGCUGGCUGUGGGCCAGAGGAUCCGCCGCGGCAGCAUCGGCGUGUGGCACUACGUGUGCCCCCGCCUGGGUGGCAUCGGCUUCUCCAGCUGCAUAGUCUGCCUCUUUGUCGGGCUGUAUUAUAAUGUGAUCAUCGGGUGGAGCAUCUUCUACUUCUUCAAGUCCUUCCAGUACCCGCUGCCCUGGAGUGAGUGCCCUGUCAUCAGGAAUGGGACCGUGGCAGUGGUGGAGCCAGAGUGUGAGAAGAGCUCAGCCACUACCUACUUCUGGUACCGAGAGGCCUUGGACAUCUCCAACUCCAUCUCGGAGAGCGGGGGCCUCAACUGGAAGAUGACCCUGUGCCUCCUCGUGGCCUGGAGCAUCGUGGGCAUGGCUGUGGUCAAGGGCAUCCAGUCCUCAGGGAAGGUGAUGUAUUUCAGCUCCCUCUUCCCCUACGUGGUGCUGGCCUGCUUCCUGGUCCGGGGGCUGCUGCUGCGAGGGGCCAUUGACGGCAUCCUCCACAUGUUCACGCCCAAGGUAAGGGUCUCGGGCUCCUGGGGAGCACAGCAGCUCCCUGGGCCUUGUCCAUUUCACCCGCUUCAACAGCCACUGAGGACCUGCUGAGUGGCAGGCGCCGUGUCGGGCACUGGAGGGAGGGGCGAGGGAAAGGCGCAUGGGCCCUGCCCUCACGGUCCCACAUCAGUGUGGGUGAAAUCCGAAGAAGCUUCGGGGAGCAGAUGACAUCUGAAACGAGCCUUAGGGAGCAGAUAGGAUUUCAGGGGCAGCGGUAGGAUGAUGCAAAGGAAUCGUAUGAGCAGGUGUGGAAAAGCACUGGGCCUGCUUGGAAGUCAAGUUUGGCUGGGGUGUGGGGGCGGGGAGGGGCAUUCAUUGCACCAAGAAGAUGCUAAAGAGGAGAAAAAUCCCUGGGAAUCCCAGCUUGUAUCCAAACCAGGGGCAUGAGGUUAGUAUCUUAUUAAAGGUAAAAGCCACAUGCGUGAAGCCGCCUGCAUCUCCUCUCAUGUAAUCCCUCCGUAGCCCAGUGAGGGUCCAGCAGCACCGCAGUGCUCGGCUCGCAGGGUGGCCUCAGGGGCGCAGGCAUCCUGAAGAUGGACACCCAGUUUCCUAAUGGUGGCCCUGCCUGUCUAUUGCCCUUCAGACCACUGGGCACAGCUGGCAGGAGCCAGCCCACUGAGGAAUAGGAGAAUCUCAGGUGCAGGUUGGCAUGCGCUUCAGGGCAACCCCGAGCAAAGUGCCAUGGUCACCCUGGCGGGCGAGCUGGAAAGUUCAGCUCUCAAUACUGCCAUCUCAUGCAUAUGCAUGCUCGAACACACACACACACACACACACACACACACACACACACACACGCUUACACGGAAAGUUUAUACAAAUGACACAAGGAGAAGAAUCCAGAUCUUGUGGGGUUGGGAAUCCUUUUCCCUCCCAAUCCCCCUGCUCUGCAGCUGCACACAGCUCCUGGUGUCUGGCGGUGGCGGCAGGCAGGACUCACCAUCUGUGUUCUCCAGGCGGGACAUAGCUGGCCCUCGGUGUUCUUAGAUGUGACAUCUGAGGUUUCUAGGUGAAUAAUCAGAGAGGCCCGUUUUACGAAGGACUUAGUGAAUUUCCUGGAGGCGUGAGUGUGACUCGAGAGCCGCUUGGCUGGAGAAGGGUUGUGGUGACCAUGUGAUGUCUGACAAAGAAGAGAAACAUGCAAAUCCGAUUUCUUUGGGGUGGGCGGGAAACCGCCACGAGAAGAAAGCCGAGGGUUUUUAUGAAUGAAUUCGACUGUAUUUCUAGAAUCGUGGUCAGCCUAGUGUGUUCCCUGGAGUCUUUCCGUUAUGCUUUGUUGAACUUUAUGAGGAAAUCGUAUCCUCUGGAGAUGUUCAUAAAUGCGGAGCUUCGCACAGGUCUCCGGAUGCGCCCCUGGGUGGUUUUAACAGAGCCUGGAACCGAUUCAGGAGAGGGGCUGCCAGUCCCAGCACAUGCAGAGCUGCUCCCCUUCUGAUUCAGACACUCCUUUUUUCUCCCCCCUUUUUAGGGCCACGCCCCCAGUAUAUGGAGAUUCCCAGGCUAGAGGUCUAAUCAGAGCUGCAGCCGUCGGCCUACGCCACGGCCACAGCAAUGUGGGAUCCGAGCCAUGUCUGCAGCCUACACCACAGCUCAUGGCAAUGCUGGAUCCUUAACCCACUGAGAAAGGCCAGGGAUCAAACCCACAUCCUCAUGGAUCCUAGUCGGGUUCGUUAACUGCUGAGCCACGACAGGAACCCCCUGCUUCAGACACUCUUUAAGACAUUUUUUUAAAGUGAAACCACUCAGACAUAUAAACACAUUAUAAUAAUAUAAUAAACAUUUUUAAGGAAAUAAAAUAUUACAGAGGCCAUAAAAGUACCUAUGGAGCCAGCUCUCAUCCCAUUCCCUUCCCUUCCCUAAAAUAACCACUAUCUUGAAUUGGGGUUUAGCCUGCUAAUGCUUUAUUUAAAAUUUGUAAUACAUGUAUGCGUAUCCAUAAAUAACAUAGGGCAUGUGUGCAUACUUUGGAUAAUUAUAUAAAUUGCACUAUGUGCAAGUUUCUGUGACGUGCUUUGAUUUUUGCUCAACAUUCUUUUUUGAGACUUAGCUCUGCUGUUAUAUGUCGCACUGGUGCAUCCAUUUUCACUGCUGUAUUGUAUUCCACUGUAGCACCACCCUCACAUUUGUUUAUUCAUUCUCUAGUUGAUGGUCAUCUGGUUGUUUCCACUUCUUGCCACAACUAAUGAUGCUGCAGUAAACAUUAUGACCCAGGUCUGCAUGUGCACGUUUCCGUAGACGCAUAUGUUUCCAAGUAGAAUUGUUGUCUUGAAGGGUACGGAUAUCUCGGUUUUACUGGAUGUUGGCUGGAUUGCUCUCCAAAGGGUUGCAUCUGUUAAUAUUCCCACUAGUUGCAUAUGAAAGUCCUGGUUGCUCCACACUUGUUACACUGCCAUUUUUGCCAAUCAGAUGGAUGCAGAAAGGUUGGUAUACACUUUGAAUGACAGGGGAGCUCCUUUCCCAGACCUUUUUCCUGGAUGUUCAGGAAACAGUGUGCUUCCACCUUAGCACUGGCAGAGGACCAGAGUAUUGUUGAGGUGAAGCUUAAAAAGAUCAAAUCCCGGAGUUCCCAUUGUGGCUCAGCAGAGACGAAUCUGACUAACAUCCAUGAGGACACAGGUUUGAUCCCUGGCCUUGCUGUGGCUGUGGUGUAGGCCAGUGGCUACAGCUCUGAUUCGACCCCUAGCCUGGGGUCAAAUAUGCCAUAUGCCCUUGGUGUGGCCCUAAAAAG
RNAcentral lists this long non-coding RNA (6516 nucleotides) under Sus scrofa (pig). RNAcentral's name for it is "lncRNA (ENSSSCG00040031094.1)". The record is from RNAcentral. Lineage: Eukaryota; Metazoa; Chordata; Mammalia; Artiodactyla; Suidae.